UUCUACUAAUGUGCCUUUCUCAGUUUUGAAUAAUAUCACAUCUGGUAGCACUGUGUCCAUGCCCACAUCAACAAAUAAUCUAGCAAAAUGCAAGCUAAUUUUCCUCUCAGUAUUGUAGUCUACCAUUAAAGGUUUCCCAACUAAGCUUCCGAUCUUACUUAAUCCUUUAGGAAUCCAAUAUUUAAAACAGAGACCGAAAAGCUGAAUUCAAAUUGGUACAGUGUGUAACUCGUCUCUUGUGAAUUUUAUCUAUGGACUCCAUGCCUUCACGAUGAAAGAUUU
Molecule: long non-coding RNA, 282 nt
Filed under: Capsicum annuum
Lineage: Eukaryota; Viridiplantae; Streptophyta; Magnoliopsida; Solanales; Solanaceae
Description: long non-coding RNA (CANN_LNC021865)
Source: RNAcentral